GAUGAACGCUGGCGGCGUGCUUAACACAUGCAAGUCGAACGAUGAAGCCCAGCUUGCUGGGUGGAUUAGUGGCGAACGGGUGGGUAACACGUGAGUAACCUGCCCUUGACUCUGGGAUAAGCCUGGGAAACUGGGUCUAAUACUGGAUAUGACUUCUCAUCGCAUGGUGGGGGGUGGAAAGAUUUAUUGGUCUUGGAUGGACUCGCGGCCUAUCAGCUUGUUGGUGAGGUAAUGGCUCACCAAGGCGACGACGGGUAGCCGGCCUGAGAGGGUGACCGGCCACACUGGGACUGAGACACGGCCCAGACUCCUACGGGAGGCAGCAGUGGGGAAUAUUGCACAAUGGGCGCAAGCCUGAUGCAGCGACGCCGCGUGAGGGAUGACGGCCUUCGGGUUGUAAACCUCUUUCAGUAGGGAAGAAGCGAGAGUGACGGUACCUGCAGAAGAAGCGCCGGCUAACUACGU
RNAcentral lists this ribosomal RNA (465 nucleotides) under uncultured bacterium. RNAcentral describes it as "partial 16S ribosomal RNA". It matches the Rfam family "Bacterial small subunit ribosomal RNA", at positions 28 to 506 of the family's 1533-position model. The record is from RNAcentral.